AGAAUUGGCUCGUUAGCAGCAAUCGGAGGUAAUCCCAAAUACUCAUCGUCACGAUCAUCAGCCGACGCCGAUACGCGCAAAAGCCACGACACGUCUGCGAUAGAAUUUUCCAACUGAGACGACAUUUUUCCAGCUGCAGGGAUUAUGGUGAAAACGCGUUUCAUGAGGCCGUUAGCUCGGCAUUUCUGUACCAGUGCCAGAGCCUUGUCAAGUACUUGCUCUGUGUCUUCAAUGAUCCGGCGCGUAGGCCGCUCGUAAAGGUCGGAGCUGGCUCGAGCGGCUUGCCGAAGCAAAGCGGCGAGCUUUUCCGUCUUGGAUUUGAGUUCAGCGCACUCUUGUUUAAAAGCGCUGGCUUCAUCAGCAGCUUUGAUUACUUGGUCAGCAAGCUGGAUAGGCUUUGCCAAGAUUUGUUUCACCAAGUCCGCCAUGGAUUAACCACA
RNAcentral lists this unclassified non-coding RNA (440 nucleotides) under Hevea brasiliensis (rubber tree). Lineage: Eukaryota; Viridiplantae; Streptophyta; Magnoliopsida; Malpighiales; Euphorbiaceae. The record is from RNAcentral.